UGUCGGAAGUAUCUCACGGUUGUUUCCGGCUGGUUGUCAGAGACGCUUUGGUUUUGGUUCGCUGUUUUGUAAACAGAGAUUUUUUUUUUUUUAAGUAGUCAGUGCUAUUCAAUUCUGGACUGAACACGUUCGUCAACUGGUACCACGAACCUAUACAUCUUAACUAAUAAACACUGAGACUUCAUAACAAUAUGUUUGUAAACACCAGACAAUUAUAUAAUAUGACCCUAUAGGUGCGUUUUUCAAAUGUAAUAUGUUACACUUUUUAAAAUUUCGGCUGUGAUUUGGUUAGUCAUAACGAAAGAAGAUACGAUUAUCAUCAACCAUAGUGAGGGAAGGUAUUUAGUUAUGGUGAAGACCAUACAUUUGAUGCUCAGAAAUUUUAAACUAGUUUAUGUGUUAAUAUAGGUUUAGCAUUCUGGAUUCAACCUUACAGCGACAUGCAGAUUUGACUGAAAAACCCUGGAAAAUUGUGGCAGCACCGCUACCAGAGAUGGAGUGGCAGGGAGAGUAUCUGCAGGACCAUUCGUUUUUAGACUGCUUACUCAGUGGGGUGCCUGGGAAUUUGGAACUGCAACAAGUGCUUGAUGACACAGAGGAGAAGCUGAAGUUGAAUGCCUUGUGCAUUGAACAGAGACUGAAGGAGCUGCAGGUGGAACUGAAUGAUACCUGGACCGGAGAGAAGCUGCCAUGUACGACUGACAACCCGCAGUGGUUCAGCCCCAGCAAUUUCAGCUCACUCAAACCAUCCUGUACUGGCCAUCAGGAUCUACUGGACUUCCUAAAAGCCCUGCAACAUUUCCUGAAGACGGAGCAAGGUCAGGAGGAAACGUUGCUGCUGCUCCUGCUUGACAUCUCCUCUCAGUGUGGUGUCUCCUUCCCAUCUCCUCCGAGCGGAUCGUCCUUCCAGCUGACCUCCAGAACCUCCCUACACGCUGUCGGGGAUGACUUCUCCAUUGAUGUCCAGUCAGUGUGGGAUGACGUGCGGCUACACCUCAGGCGAUUCCUGGUGGACAAACUGCAAUGCAGCCAGGAGGUGGGUCACCAGCUCCAUCACAGGGUGGCCUUCAAGACACAGUGUCUCCAGCAGCUUCUAUUCCUCUACCCGGAGUCAGAGGUCCUGUCAAAGUACCAGAGCAUCCAGAGCAAAGCAGUGCAGGAUCUCCUGCAGAACUCGGUGCUCUCCAGCCCUGGAGAAACCAAUUUCGACAAACUGGUCCAAGCCCACCAGAGAGGCAUCCCUUCUAUCUGCUCCAUGAUCAAGGAAGAUCUGCAAAUGCUCAACGGGAUUAUGGAGCCUUCAAUGACCCUAAAGUUUCUUAACGAAACAUACCUCUCCAACAUUACUGACGAGUUGUCCACUCUGAUCGAGAAGAUUUGUGACCUGCAGUUUAAAGAAAAUGUAAUGCACGCCACUAAAAUGGACAAAAGCAAGCAGAAAGGAGCAGUGCACGCUAUGGCUCUGCAGGAAAGGCCUAAAAAAGGGAGGAAUUUCUGCCUGACCUCACAUCAGUUGAGGUGUCUUGCCCAACUCAUGAAAUCCCUUUUGUGCAUGGAGGAAAGAAUAUUGGAACUUGCUACUGAAGUUUCCUUUUUGAACUGUGGAGGGGAGGCUGCCAGCAGCAUACAAGGAAUGUUGAAGAAAACAUGUGAGGACACUGAUAUGACCCCAGCUGAGACCAGUAAGCAAACUGCUGAACAGCUACUACAGGUCACAGAGCCUGCUGUUUUGGAGUUUGAUUGGAGGUGUGCUUUCAAAGACCUUGCUCCUGCUGUAGCCCACUGUGUCAAGGUGGUGCUGGAAGACAUCUGUGUGAAGAGGUUACAGCAGGAGGAGAACUUCCACUCAUCAGACUCCUCGAGGGUCAUGGAUCUUUGCAGUCUGCAGCAGGACGAUCAGAUCUGCUUGCCAAGCAGGACAGAAGAACCACCACAGAGAAUUGCCAAGUUCUGCGCUGACAUCAUGGAAGAACUCGACAUGUUGCUUCCACUUGCCCUGGCGUGCAGAAAGGACUUUCUGCAGGAAAUUAUAGAAAACUUUGUGGAGGUCUGCAGCAAAGUAACAGCAGCUGUUCUUACAAGGCUGGAGGAGAGGAGUAAGGAGGUUCCCUUGAAAUCGCCUAUUCAAAACCUGCACACCCUGCUCUCCACUGCCAUCCAUGUCCUCCAGCGUUUGACCCAGUAUGAGGCCAGGCUGAAGGGUGCUAGCUGCAAGCCCCUCUUCCCUCUAUCAGUCCAGAGGUACCAGGAAUUGAUCAGCGCCCUCCAGGAUCAAGUUACCAGCUACUGCGUCACAGUCUGCACUACGAGCAUCCUGCAGGAUCCCGAGAGCCACCACUGGGAUGACCCCAAGGUUUUUUAUGAGGGGGAGAGGUGCUCGUUUUCCAUCCAGAUGUGGCACUAUUACCUCUCAGCUCUGCGGCAUGAUCUCUGGAGUGUGCUUCCUCCCAGCCUUGCCCAGGAGAUCCUAGCACAGGUGCUGAGCCAAACUUUGGAAAUGUUAGUGCAGAGGUACUCACAGGCACGCCCGACGUAUAGGAGGACCUUACAGAUCAGGACUGAUAUUACAGCCAUACUGCUGUGCACUGAGAACCUGAUCUGGUCACUCUGUAGUACAAGAGAGGAGCUGCUUCAUCCAAGUAGAGAUAUCUGUCCCUGGAUCUUUUCUAUUCACAGCCACUGCAAUCACCUGCUUACUGCGCUGGCCAUUGUAACUUCACCCCUGCACAGUCUCUUUGAGACAUUUCAGAAGGGUCCGGGUGACCUUUCCUCUCUAUCGACUUCAGAAAACUCUAGCUACCAUCUCUUACAGUGGCUGCGUUUCAUUAAGUCAUCUUUGUUCUCUCAAGAAUCUCUCGGGACAUUGUCAGCUGAUGAAAUAGCUUCCCAGUGCCAUCUGAAAUUGAUGUUAUCCCAACCAAGUUGUAAUCUGAGCUUGUUGCUGCAAACACUACUUCAUAACCGCUGCCUGAUACUAAAAGUGUUGCUAAAGAUUUCAAACUAUGAAACGGAUGAGAAAGGACUGUCCAUGGAGGCAGUGUUUAUGGUGUUGACCAGUUUAAACAUCCUGCCCAAAUCUCUCUGUUUUGUUCUUGAAAGCUAUCUUGAUGAGCAACAGUUAUGGGAUCAUUUGUAUAACCUGCCAGAUUCCAGCAAACCAGAGACAGAGGUCCUGAAGUGUCUGAGACUCGCCGUGACCAAGCCCAUCAUGAGCGCAGUGAACCAGAUAAUGUCCAUGGUGUACGCGUGGCAGGCGGCUGAGCAUCAUGGGACAUGCCAGCAUAGACAAAUGGCUCCUGAGAGUCUGCUGAAUAAAAUCCCCAAGGACUGGAAUUAUGUACCCCGAGAACUGAAAAGGAAGGAGUCUGGAAAAAGUUUUACAAAACUAGUGGCACAAGCGGUUUCCUUCAUAUUUACCAACUUGCCAACCAUGAUCGCCUCCUUGCCUGUGGCAGUGAAAUACCUAUUUUAUAUAGGAGAGAAGAAGCUUUCUCGAAAUACUGUCCCCCUCAAACAAACUGGCCUGCUCAUCUGGACCUUCACAUCAUACCUCUGCCGGACGCUGGACGACGGAAACGCCAUCGAGCUGCUGACGGGGGUCGCUCUAGACAGGUGGAGCAAGGAGACACUGGGCUUGCUGAGUGAGUGUCUGCAGAACAUUGUGGGGCAGCAAAAGGGAAUCCCCAAACCAGUGGUGCAGAAGAUUAUCCAAAAUAUGGAGGUACAGAGGCCGCAAUGGAUAAAGGGACAGCUACAGAAAGCAAGGAAGCUGUGCACUAAAGGGGCUUUUGAACCAGCAGAAAGCACUGUCGUGCAAGAGAAAGGGAUCGCGUCUGAAUUGACUGAGCAGAAAAUAGGCAUGAUGGUCCUGGAUAUCUGCCACAAACCAGGUGGCAGCGAGUACCUGAGGCAAAUUUAUCACAUCAUCCAACUCAAUGAGGAGUAUCUCAAAACUGAGAUUUCCACUGUAAAAGAUUCAGCAGCAGAACCUCAUCAAAGACCAUUAAAGUUAAAUCAUAAGGAUUCGGAACAACAGCAGCAGCCCUCUGUUUUCAGCCCUCUAAAGGAGUUCUGCUGCAUUGGGAGCAAUAAGUUUGACCAGUCAGCCAUAACUGAGUGGGACUGGGACUGGUCGAAACUGCUGCCAGGUUAUCUGGGACUCAGUCAGGUGACCUUGAGGGCGCUGCUGGCGAACAGGUAAAUGUACUGCCUGGCUCUCAGGAUGGAAAAAAAAUGUGAAUUUGGUAUUCGGGUUGACUGGCAAGGAAGUGGGAUGAUUAACUAUUACAAAACCAUUAUACUCCAAGACAGUGCUUGUGAAGGCAUGGCCCAGCUGAGGCCGUCAGGAAGAGGCCGGAGUCAACCGGAAGAUGCCAGGACUUCACUAGGCCAAGUAUAGAGAGGUUUCAUCGGGUAGUAGGUUCCUGGAGCGGACGUUCCUUUUAGUGGAUUAGCCUUGUGUGGCAACCUUUUAUUUUUAGCUUUGUUGUGUUUUCCUUUCUUUAGUAAAUCCGGCGCUAGGACACCCACUGCCCUGUGUCUGAUUCAGUAUUAUUCAGUGACAACCCACAUACCUAACACUUCACCCUGUUAUAGUUCCCUACAAGCCUUAUAGGUCAGAAGUAGGACUUUAAAAUCAAUUCUCUGCUUCAGAGGCAGCCAGUGUAAGGAAGCCAAGACAGGGCUAAGAGAAUUAAGGUCUCUACAUACCGGACGCUAUGCAACAAGCGAAUGUGUCGUACAACACACGGCACCAUGAUUAAAUAUGAUUUAAUUACUAUAUAUGUAAUAUAUAGUUGAAAAACCUGAACCUAAUUCGAACUUGUUUUGUCUUGUACAGACACACUGAUAGUUGUUUUGUUGUAUUAAUAACGUUUGUUAAUAUAUUUGUAUAGGGAAGGAGAGGGGGGAGUGAAAUUUGCCAUCACAUCACCACUGGUGUGAAUGGUAUUGUCGCGGCGAAAAUACCAUUUUAUCGCUGGACAAAUUGCAUCGUGUACAGUGUCUGGAGACCUUUACAGACAUCAAUCCUUGAAGAGACAAAAGCCUGAAUCAGGAUCUCUGCAUCCUUUUGACAUAGCAUGGGCCGAAUUCUAGAAAUAUUCCUAAACUGAAAAUAGGACGUUUUUGUAGUCACAUGGAUGUGAGAGUCUAAAGAGAGCUCAGGAUCAAAGAUAACUCCAAGAUUCCUUACUGCAGAUUCAAGUUCAAGUUGACUGUCAUCAAAAGAAGAGAAUGUACAUUGCUGUACGUGUUUAGUCAUACUGAUAGACAUUGAGCUUGCAUCCUGUCUCUAUCUUGUCGUGCUGAAUGCAGAUCUCAGUGAGUGUUCUCACCCAGAUCGAGCAGGGGGCGCCUCUGUCUUCUGUAAUGAGGUGUGGAGUGGCUUCAGGGCAUAGGGAGGGAAAAUUAGGAACAUUAUCCCAGAUUCCUCGCUGCUGUCCACACCACUGGCUGAUGAUUAGGGCGGGCACUGGCCACCAGGGGGCUCUGUCUCUCCCAGCAGGGGGCAGUAGAGACGCAGGCCUGGAUUUUGCUAAGUGACAUAAGGAAAACUAAAAAAUACAUUUAUUUUGUUAAAAAAAAAUACAUUUAAGUGUUAGGAAUGAUGCAAGUUAAUAUGCAGGUCAUAAUGUCAUUGC
Molecule: RNA transcript, 5642 nt
Organism: Acipenser ruthenus (sterlet)
Lineage: Eukaryota; Metazoa; Chordata; Actinopteri; Acipenseriformes; Acipenseridae
Exons: 22
Source: RefSeq, a predicted model, not a curated record